UACGAAGGUGGCAAGCGUUGUUCGGAUUCACUGGGCGUACAGGGAGCGUAGGCGGUUGGGUAAGCCCUCCGUGAAAACCCCAGGCCUAACCUGGGAAGUGCAGAGGGGACUGCUCGGCUAGAGGACGGGAGAGGAGCGCGGAAUUCCCGGUGUAGCGGUGAAAUGCGUAGAGAUCGGGAGGAAGGCCGGUGGCGAAGGCGGCGCUCUGGAACGUCCCUGACGCUGAGGCUCGAAAGCGUGGGGAGCAAACAGGAUUAGAAACCCUAGUAGU
Molecule: ribosomal RNA, 271 nt
Filed under: uncultured bacterium
Lineage: Bacteria
Description: partial 16S ribosomal RNA
Rfam family: Bacterial small subunit ribosomal RNA
Source: RNAcentral